Non-coding RNA from Salvia hispanica, 588 nucleotides. The record is from RefSeq and is a predicted model, not a curated record. Lineage: Eukaryota; Viridiplantae; Streptophyta; Magnoliopsida; Lamiales; Lamiaceae.
UUCUAUCCUACAUUCUAAUGUGGAUGAAAAUAUAAACUUAUGUUUGUUAUUUGUGCAAAUGAUGUUGUCUUGCCAUAAAUGAUUUGUUUUAUGCCUAUCUGUUUGGUUGGAACGUAAGAAUCGAAUUCGGGUCCGAGUGAGGGUGGUGUCCCUACUCGGAUUAGUGUACACAGGUGACCGUGGAAGGUGGCCACCUUCCACGGCACAAAGAUGAUAUAGUGGAGGCCGUUGGGAGGUGGCCACCUCCUCGGCUGAAGAAAGAUGUAGGUGACCGUGGGAGAGCACCAUCUCCACGGCACUUGGUGUUCAGAUAUGGCAAAAGAAAGAAAGAACUUAGACUGAUCAGUCGAACUUUAGCUCACAAAGAAUUUAGUUGAGCAGUGACGGUGGAGAAUGCUGAGCAGAGUUAUGAUUUCCCUUUUAUUUUAAGUAGAGGCUCUCGGCGGUGUAUUUCUCCAUACAUGUGACCGUAUUCAUUCCGCUGCGUACUAAGAUUUUAGUUAACCUCGAUUGUUCUUUUGUACUCUAAUAAUUAUUUAUUGAAUAGUAAGAUUUUCAUUCAAGUUUUGGUGAUUAAGAGUUUGUUUG